GGGUAUGUGGCUUAGUGGUAGAGUACUUGCCUAGUAGGCAUGAAGCUCUGGGUUCAAUUCCUCAGUGCCA
Molecule: transfer RNA, 70 nt
Filed under: Dipodomys ordii (Ord's kangaroo rat)
Lineage: Eukaryota; Metazoa; Chordata; Mammalia; Rodentia; Heteromyidae
Rfam family: tRNA
About the family: Transfer RNA (tRNA) molecules are approximately 80 nucleotides in length. Their secondary structure includes four short double-helical elements and three loops (D, anti-codon, and T loops). Further hydrogen bonds mediate the characteristic L-shaped molecular structure. tRNAs have two regions of fundamental functional importance: the anti-codon, which is responsible for specific mRNA codon recognition, and the 3' end, to which the tRNAs corresponding amino acid is attached (by aminoacyl-tRNA synthetases). tRNAs cope with the degeneracy of the genetic code in two manners: having more than one tRNA (with a specific anti-codon) for a particular amino acid; and 'wobble' base-pairing, i.e. permitting non-standard base-pairing at the 3rd anti-codon position.
Source: Rfam by way of RNAcentral